GAUGAACGCUGGCGGCGUGCCUAAUACAUGCAAGUCGUACGGAAAGGCCCUUCGGGGUACUCGAGUGGCGGACGGCUGAGUAACGCGUGGGAACGUGCCCCAAAGUGAGGGAUAACGCACCGAAAGGUGUGCUAAUACCGCAUAUGGUCUUCGGAUUAAAGCUUCGGCGCUUUGGGAGCGGCCCGCGUACGAUUAGAUAGUUGGUGAGGUAAUGGCUCACCAAGUCGACGAUCGUUAGCUGGUCUGAGAGGAUGAUCAGCCAGACUGGGACUGAGACACGGCCCAGACUCCUACGGGAGGCAGCAGUAAGGAAUCUUCCACAAUGGGGGCAACCCUGAUGGAGCAACGCCGCGUGCAGGAUGAAGGUUUUCGGAUCGUAAACUGCUUUUAUAAGUGAAGAAUAUGACGGUAACUUAUGAAUAAGGAUCGGCUAACUACGUGCCAGUAGCCGCGGUAA
Molecule: ribosomal RNA, 457 nt
Filed under: uncultured bacterium
Lineage: Bacteria
Description: partial 16S ribosomal RNA
Rfam family: Bacterial small subunit ribosomal RNA
Source: RNAcentral